Long non-coding RNA from Onychostoma macrolepis, 1030 nucleotides. RefSeq lists it as uncharacterized. NCBI's taxonomy places the organism in Eukaryota, Metazoa, Chordata, Actinopteri, Cypriniformes, Cyprinidae. The transcript is spliced from 3 exons. The record is from RefSeq and is a predicted model, not a curated record.
ACAUAUACACACAGUAUAUAUAUUAAAAUAAUCAUGAGACCAUUUUGAGACACUUAAGUUUUUAUUGAUUUUUAUGUAUUUUUAUCAUUAACUGAUUUUUUAAUUUAUGAUCCUGAAGGAUCUUUAUUCACUCUUUAUUAAUCUUUUCCUUUGAACUGUACACAGUGAACUCUUGGAUCCUGAAGGAUGAAAAAUUCUUAAUCAAAUAUGGCGACAGUAGCCCCCUUGUUUUUAUCCACAAGUUCUGUCCAGAACAUCUCACAGUCCUAUCUUUUCACAAACAGGAAAGAAGUGAACAGUUCCUCUGGAGCUUUGUGUAGGGAUUUAAUUUGGUGCUCAUCUGCUUGUUGGUAUGUAGUAUGCAUCAUCAAAUCUUUUAGUUAAAAAUUAAACUGUAGUUUACAGCAGAAACGGCGACAAACGAUCGUGACUCCUGCCACGAACUCUGACAGCUGAUACAUAAAAAUGUAUAAUAAUAAUAAUAAUAAUAGUAAUACAAUUGUGGGAACUUUGCAUCAUUUAAAAAAAAAAAAAAACACCACUGCACACCACUGAGAACAGUGUAGUUUUUACCGAGCAAACAGCAAAAACAGCGAGGAAAAACCGUCAGUAGCCCCUCACUGCAGAACAAAGAUCCAGGGUACGGAGUUGGAUCCACAUCCAGGGGGUGGAAAUGUGAGGACCAUCUCAAAACUGUGGCAAUUCUCUGGGGAUGCCACCGGAAGUGGCGCUGCGACCUGCCGCUGCCAGGAUUUGCACCUGCUCUCUCUCCCUCCAGGACAGGUUUGAGAACCACUGCUCUAGAUAAAAUGACCGAAGACCACCAGGGGGUCGUAAGGGGCGUAGAUCCAAAGUGGACCCCUUCCUCAUCCUCAGGAAAACAUCAAACUGCCACAUCCAGUCCGCUGGUGAGACUGUGAGAGACGUGCAUGUCUGAGACCGCGAAGAGCACAUCGUUGACCACAGCCUCAGCCUCCAGCCUCAUGUCCUUCACCUCCCCCAGCUCCACACAGCGCUCCUCAUACGAACA